RNAcentral lists this ribosomal RNA (1499 nucleotides) under uncultured bacterium. RNAcentral describes it as "bacterial SSU rRNA". It matches the Rfam family "Bacterial small subunit ribosomal RNA". The record is from RNAcentral.
UAGUUCGAUCCUGGCUCAGGAUGAACGCUGGCGGCAUGCCUAAUACAUGCAAGUCGAACGGAGUGAAGCCUUCGGGUUUCAUUCAGUGGCGAACGGGUGAGUAAUACGCAGGGAACCUGGCCAUGGCAGGGGGAUACACUCUGGAAACGGAGCAUAAGACCCCAUAGGCAGUAAGGCGGCAUCGCCUUACUGUUAAAGAAAGCUGAAAGGCUUUGGCGAUGGAUGGACCUGCGGUGCAUUAGCUUGUUGGUGAGGCAACGGCUUACCAAGGCGAUGAUGCAUAGCCGGCCUGAGAGGGCGGACGGCCACACUGGGACUGAGACACGGCCCAGACUCCUGCGGGAGGCAGCAGUAGGGAAUUUUCGUCAAUGGGCGCAAGCCUGAACGAGCAAUGCCGCGUGAGUGAGGAAGGUCUUCGGACUGUAAAGCUCUGUUGCCGGGGAAAAAGGGGAAAUGCAGGAAAUGGCAUUUCAUGGAUGGUACCCGGCCAGAAAGCCACGGCUAACUACGUGCCAGCAGCCGCGGUAAUACGUAGGUGGCGAGCGUUAUCCGGAAUGAUUGGGCGUAAAGGGUGCGCAGGCGGUCUGUUAAGUCUGAAGGCAAAGGGAUGAGCUCAACUCAUUUAUGAUUCAGAAACUGGCAGACUUGAGGACAGGAGAGGGCGGUGGAACUCCAUGUGUAGCGGUAAAAUGCGCAGAGAUAUGGAAGAACACCAGUGGCGAAGGCGGCCGCCUGGCCUGUGACUGACGCUGAGGCACGAAAGCGUGGGGAGCAAAUAGGAUUAGAUACCCUAGUAGUCCACGCCGUAAACGAUGAGGAGCAGGUGUUGGGAGUGAAAUCUCAGUGCCGAAGCCAACGCAGUGACUCCUCCGCCUGGGGAGUAUGCACGCAAGUGUGAAACUCAAAGGAAUUGACGGGGGCCCGCACAAGCGGUGGAGUAUGUGGUUUAAUUCGAAGCAACGCGAAGAACCUUACCAGGUUUUGACAUCGGAUGCGAAGGCGCAGAGAUGCGCUGGAGGCUAUCAUCCAGACAGGUGGUGCAUGGUUGUCGUCAGCUCGUGUCGUGAGAUGUUCAGUUAAGUCUGGCAACGAGCGCAACCCCCGUGGUAUGUUACUAACGCAUUUGGGCGAGGACUCAUAUCAGACUGCCGGUGACAAACCGGAGGAAGGCGGGGAUGACGUCAAAUCAUCAUGCCCCUUAUGACCUGGGCUACACACGUACUACAAUGGCGUCUACAGAGGGAAGCGACCCUGAGAAGGGAAGCGAAACCGGAAAAGGGCGUCCCAGUUCGGAUUGAAGUCUGCAACCCGACUUCAUGAAGAUGGAAUCGCUAGUAAUCGCGGAUCAGCAUGCCGCGGUGAAUACGUUCCCGGGCCUUGUACACACCGCCCGUCAAACCAUGGAAGCCGGCAACGCCCGAAGCCGGUGGCAUAACCUUUUAGGAGUGAGCCGUCGAAGGCGGGGCCGAUGACUGGGGUUAAGUCGUAACAAGGUACCC